This 465-nucleotide ribosomal RNA is filed under the name Vreelandella stevensii. RNAcentral describes it as "partial 16S ribosomal RNA". It matches the Rfam family "Bacterial small subunit ribosomal RNA", at positions 338 to 795 of the family's 1533-position model. Lineage: Bacteria; Pseudomonadati; Pseudomonadota; Gammaproteobacteria; Oceanospirillales; Halomonadaceae. The record is from RNAcentral.
CCUACGGGGGGCUGCAGUGGGGAAUAUUGGACAAUGGGGGGAACCCUGAUCCAGCCAUGCCGCGUGUGUGAAGAAGGCCCUCGGGUUGUAAAGCACUUUCAGUGAGGAAGAACGCCUGGUGGUUAAUACCCAUCAGGAAAGACAUCACUCACAGAAGAAGCACCGGCUAACUCCGUGCCAGCAGCCGCGGUAAUACGGAGGGUGCGAGCGUUAAUCGGAAUUACUGGGCGUAAAGCGCGCGUAGGUGGCUUGAUAAGCCGGUUGUGAAAGCCCCGGGCUCAACCUGGGAACGGCAUCCGGAACUGUCAAGCUAGAGUGCAGGAGAGGAAGGUAGAAUUCCCGGUGUAGCGGUGAAAUGCGUAGAGAUCGGGAGGAAUACCAGUGGCGACGGCGGCCUUCUGGACUGACACUGACACUGAGGUGCGAAAGCGUGGGUAGCAAACAGGAUUAGAUACCCUAGUAGUC